CCGAUUAAAAAAUCAGAUCUAAUUCUCACAUUUUUUUUCCUUUGGGGCAUUGAGUCCAAGUUCAAAUAAUUUUUUUCAACUAUUCUUAAUUAUUAUUUUUUUUCUUUUCUUAAUAUAAUUUAAGCAUUCAUAAAAAAAUUAUUUUUUUCAUUGAAAAGUAUAAAUAUUUAUUAAAAGUAUAUAAUUUUUUUAUUAAAAUAUUAACCACAUAAUAAA
RNAcentral lists this long non-coding RNA (216 nucleotides) under Brassica rapa (field mustard). Its description in RNAcentral is "long non-coding RNA (BRAP_LNC003697)". The record is from RNAcentral. Lineage: Eukaryota; Viridiplantae; Streptophyta; Magnoliopsida; Brassicales; Brassicaceae.